RNAcentral lists this ribosomal RNA (775 nucleotides) under uncultured Neocallimastigales. Its description in RNAcentral is "partial large subunit ribosomal RNA". It matches the Rfam family "Eukaryotic large subunit ribosomal RNA", at positions 23 to 645 of the family's 3401-position model. Lineage: Eukaryota; Fungi; Neocallimastigomycota; Neocallimastigomycetes; Neocallimastigales. The record is from RNAcentral.
AGAGAGAGACAUGCGCGCAUAUCAAUAAGCGGAGGAAAAGAAACUAACUAGGAUUCCCUUAGUAACGGCGAGUGAAGCGGGAAGAGCUCAAAUUUGAAAUCUUCAAGGUUUUACCUUGACGAAUUGUAGUUUAAAGAAGUGUUUUCUGCUGGAGUUUUGGUAAAAGUUCUUUGGAAUAGGACAUCAUAGAGGGUGAGAAUCCCGUAUUUGACCAUUAUUUCCAGCUUUGUGAUACACUUUCAAAGAGUCGGAUUGUUUGGGAAUGCAGUCCAAAAUGGGUGGUAAAUUUCAUCUAAAGCUAAAUAUUGGCGAGAGACCGAUAGCGAACAAGUACCGUGAGGGAAAGAUGAAAAGAACUUUGAAAAGAGAGUUAAACAGUACGUGAAAUUGUCAAAAGGGAAGCGUUUGACACCAGUGUUGUUUUCUCGAAAAUCAAUUAAAAAUGGCUCGAUUUUGUAUUGUUGAGACCUUAAAAGCUCACUGUACAUUUUUCGUGUCUUUUUUAAUGCACUUUUCGUUUAAGCAAGUCAACAUCAGUUUCUUCUGUUGUAAAAGGGUCAUUGGAAGGUGGCUUUCUUUUCGGAGAAAGUGUUUAUAGCCUUUGGCCUCUGCAAUCGGAGAGACUGAGGUCUGCAGCGUAGACUCUUCGGGGUUAGAUACAUUUGUGCUAAGUUAUAGCUUUUUAUAGACAACUUGUUGACUAUAAUUAGUCUUGUAGCUUACUCGCUUAUGCUAUUUUACCUACGCUUAGGAUGUUGAAGUCAUCGUAUCGCGC